GACGUAGGGCGCGAGCGUUGUCCGGAUUUAUUGGGCGUAAAGAGCUCGUAGGCGGCUUGUCGCGUCGUCCGUGAAAACCUGCAGCUCAACUGCAGGCUUGCGGUCGAUACGGGCAGGCUCGAGUUCGGUAGGGGAGACUGGAAUUCCUGGUGUAGCGGUGAAAUGCGCAGAUAUCAGGAGGAACACCGGUGGCGAAGCGGGUCUCUGGGCCGAUACUGACGUGAGGAGCGAAAGCGUGGGGAGCGAACAGGAUU
This 254-nucleotide ribosomal RNA is filed under the name uncultured bacterium. RNAcentral's name for it is "partial 16S ribosomal RNA". It matches the Rfam family "Bacterial small subunit ribosomal RNA", at positions 524 to 779 of the family's 1533-position model. The record is from RNAcentral.